AGCACGGGUGCUUGCACCUGGUGGCGAGUGGCGAACGGGUGAGUAAUACAUCGGAACGUGCCCGAGAGUGGGGGAUAACGGAGCGAAAGCUUUGCUAAUACCGCAUACGAUCUACGGAUGAAAGCAGGGGACCGCAAGGCCUUGCGCUCAUGGAGCGGCCGAUGGCAGAUUAGGUAGUUGGUGGGAUAAAAGCUUACCAAGCCGACGAUCUGUAGCUGGUCUGAGAGGACGACCAGCCACACUGGGACUGAGACACGGCCCAGACUCCUACGGGAGGCAGCAGUGGGGAAUUUUGGACAAUGGGCGCAAGCCUGAUCCAGCCAUGCCGCGUGCAGGAUGAAGGCCUUCGGGUUGUAAACUGCUUUUGUACGGAACGAAAAGACUCUGGAUAAUACCUGGGGUCCAUGACGGUACCGUAAGAAUAAGCACCGGCUAACUACGUGCCAGCAGCCGCGGUAAUACGUAGGGUGCAAGCGUUAAUCGGAAUUACUGGGCGUAAAGCGUGCGCAGGCGGUUAUGUAAGACAGAUGUGAAAUCCCCGGGCUCAACCUGGGAACUGCAUUUGUGACUGCAUAGCUAGAGUACGGCAGAGGGGGAUGGAAUUCCGCGUGUAGCAGUGAAAUGCGUAGAUAUGCGGAGGAACACCGAUGGCGAAGGCAAUCCCCUGGGCCUGCACUGACGCUCAUGCA
RNAcentral lists this ribosomal RNA (689 nucleotides) under uncultured bacterium. RNAcentral describes it as "bacterial SSU rRNA". It matches the Rfam family "Bacterial small subunit ribosomal RNA", at positions 68 to 753 of the family's 1533-position model. The record is from RNAcentral.